This 398-nucleotide ribosomal RNA is filed under the name uncultured bacterium. Its description in RNAcentral is "partial 16S ribosomal RNA". It matches the Rfam family "Bacterial small subunit ribosomal RNA", at positions 338 to 733 of the family's 1533-position model. The record is from RNAcentral.
CCUACGGGAGGCAGCAGUGAGGAAUAUUGGUCAAUGGACGCAAGCCUGAACCAGCCAUGCCGCGUGCGGGAAGACGGCUCUAUGUAUUGUAAACUGCUUUUGUCAGGGGAUAAACGCAGAUACGCGUCUCUGUCUGAAAGUAUCGUACGAAAAAGCAUCGGCUAACUCCGUGCCAGCAGCCGCGGUAAUACGGAGGAUUCAAGCGUUAUCCGGAUUUAUUGGGUUUAAAGGGUGCGUAGGCGGUCGGAUAAGUUAGCGGUGAAAUCCCGGGGCUCAACUUCGGCAGAGCCUUUGAUACUGUGCGGCUAGAGUGUGGGUGCGGUAGGCGGAAUGUAUGGUGUAGCGGUGAAAUGCUUAGAGAUCAUACAGAACACCGAUUGCGAAGGCAGCGUACCAAG